UACGGAGGGUGCAAGCGUUGUCCGGAUUUAUUGGGUUUAAAGGGUGCGUAGGCGGCCCGUUAAAUCAGUGGUGUAAUCCCAGGGCUCAACCCUGGAACUGCCAUUGAUACUGAUGGGCUUGAGUUCGGUCGAGGCGGGCGGAACUGGUGGUGUAGCGGUGAAAUGCUUAGAUACCACCAAGGACCCCGAUUGCGUAGGCAGCUCGCUUGGCCGAAACUGACGCUGAGGCACGAAAGCGUGGGGAGCGAACAGG
This 253-nucleotide unclassified non-coding RNA is filed under the name uncultured Hymenobacteraceae bacterium. RNAcentral's name for it is "contains 16S-23S intergenic spacer region". It matches the Rfam family "Bacterial small subunit ribosomal RNA", at positions 524 to 776 of the family's 1533-position model. The record is from RNAcentral. Lineage: Bacteria; Pseudomonadati; Bacteroidota; Cytophagia; Cytophagales; Hymenobacteraceae.